Molecule: ribosomal RNA, 253 nt
Filed under: uncultured prokaryote
Description: partial 16S ribosomal RNA
Rfam family: Bacterial small subunit ribosomal RNA
Source: RNAcentral
UACAGAGGUCCCAAGCGUUGUUCGGAUUCAUUGGGCGUAAAGGGCUCGUAGGUGGCCAACUAAGUCAGACGUGAAAUCCCUCGGCUUGACCGGGGAACUGCGUCUGAUACUGGAUGGCUUGAGGUUGGGAGAGGGAUGCGGAAUUCCAGGUGUAGCGGUGAAAUGCGUAGAUAUCUGGAGGAACACCGGUGGCGAAGGCGGCAUCCUGGACCAAUUCUGACGCUGAGGAGCGAAAGCCAGGGGAGCAAACGGG